Molecule: transfer RNA, 77 nt
Filed under: Candidatus Saccharimonadota bacterium
Lineage: Bacteria; Candidatus Saccharimonadota
Also listed under: 3 other names
Description: tRNA-Met
Rfam family: tRNA
About the family: Transfer RNA (tRNA) molecules are approximately 80 nucleotides in length. Their secondary structure includes four short double-helical elements and three loops (D, anti-codon, and T loops). Further hydrogen bonds mediate the characteristic L-shaped molecular structure. tRNAs have two regions of fundamental functional importance: the anti-codon, which is responsible for specific mRNA codon recognition, and the 3' end, to which the tRNAs corresponding amino acid is attached (by aminoacyl-tRNA synthetases). tRNAs cope with the degeneracy of the genetic code in two manners: having more than one tRNA (with a specific anti-codon) for a particular amino acid; and 'wobble' base-pairing, i.e. permitting non-standard base-pairing at the 3rd anti-codon position.
Source: RNAcentral
GGCGGCGUAGCUCAGCUGGUUAGAGCACGAGACUCAUAAGCUCGGGGUCACAGGUUCAAGUCCUGUCGCCGCUACCA